GGCGGAUGCCUAGGCUUUCAGAGGCGAAGAAGGACGUGGUAAGCUGCGAAAAGCUGCGGGGAUCGGCACACACGAAUUGAUCCGCAGAUGUCCGAAUGGGGCAACCCGGCUGGUUGAAGAUCAGUCACUCUAAUUUAUUAGAGAGCAAACCCGGAGAACUGAAACAUCUAAGUACCCGGAGGAAAAGAAAUCGAAGAGAUUCCGUAAGUAGUGGCGAGCGAAAGCGGAUUAGCCCAAAAGUCUUUAUAUGUUUAGAAGAAUGUUCUGGAAAGAACAGCCAUAGAGGGUGAUAGCCCCGUAAUUGAAAGGCAUAUUUGGAUGAUAAAUGAGUAGGGCGGGACACGUGAAAUCCUGUCUGAAUAUGGGGGGACCAUCCUCCAAGGCUAAAUACUCCUGAAAGACCGAUAGUGAACAAGUACUGUGAAGGAAAGGUGAAAAGCACUUCGAAUAGAAGGGUGAAAGAGAACCUGAAACCGUACGCCUACAAGCGGUCGGAGCCCACAAGUUGGGUGACGGCGUGCCUUUUGCAUAAUGAGCCUACGAGUUAAUUUUACUAGCGAGCUUAAGUACUUCAGGUACGGAGGCGGAGCGAAAGCGAGUCUGAAUAGGGCGCUUAGUUAGUAGGAUUAGACGCGAAACCUUGUGAUCUACCCAUGGGCAGGUUGAAGCUUUGGUAACACAAAGUGGAGGACCGAACCGGUUGACGUUGAAAAGUCUUCGGAUGACUUGUGGGUAGGGGUGAAAGGCCAAUCAAACUGGGAGAUAGCUCGUACUCCCCGAAAUGCAUUUAGGUGCAGCGUUGCAAUAUAGUUUAUUAGAGGUAGAGCUACUGAUUGGAUGCGGGGGUUUCAUCGCCUACCAAUUCCUGACAAACUCCGAAUGCUAAUAAAUGUUCUGCAGCAGUGAGGGCAUGGGUGCUAAGGUCCAUGUCCGAGAGGGAAAGAACCCGGACCAACAGCUAAGGUCCCCAAAUCUAUACUAAGUUGAAAUAACGCGGUUGAACUGCAUUGACAGCUAGGAUGUUGGCUUGGAAGCAGCCAUUCAUUUAAAGAGUGCGUAACAGCUCACUAGUCGAGCGGUUCGGCAUGGAUAAUAAUCGGGCAUAAGUAUAGUACCGAAGCUAUGGAUUUAUAACUUUUGAGUUAUAUCUGGUAGGGGAGCAUUCUGUUUGCACAGAAGCAGGGUCGUGAGGCCUUGUGGAGCGGACAGAAAAGAAAAUGUAGGCAUAAGUAACGAUAAAGCGGGCGAGAAACCCGCUCACCGAAAGACUAAGGUUUCCUCAGCCAUGCUAAUCAGCUGAGGGUUAGUCGGGACCUAACGCGAACCCGAAAGGGGAAGUGGAUGGACAAUGGGUUAAUAUUCCCAUACUUGCUCACACUAAAAAGGGGACGGAGUGCCGUACUUACUGAAGACUGACGGAAUAGUCAAGACCUAGCCUUCGGGCGAAGUUGUUGUAGGGAAAGUGCUUCCAAGAAAAGCCGAAGUGAAGCAACCCGUACCAAAACCGACACAGGUAGUCGAGGAGAGAAUCCUAAGGUGCUAGAGUGAAUCAUGGUUAAGGAACUAGGCAAAAUAGUCUCGUAACUUCGGAAGAAGGGACGCCAGCAGCAAUGCUGGCCUCAGUAAAGAGGCCCAGGCGACUGUUUAUCAAAAACACAGGACUCUGCUAAAUCGAAAGAUGCUGUAUAGGGUCUGACACCUGCCCGGUGCUGGAAGGUUAAGGAAGGUUGUUAGCGCAAGCGAAGCAAUUAACUGAAGCCCCGGUAAACGGCGGCCGUAACAAUAACGGUCCUAAGGUAGCGAAAUUCCUUGUCGGGUAAGUUCCGACCUGCACGAAUGG
Molecule: ribosomal RNA, 1840 nt
Filed under: Amia calva (bowfin)
Lineage: Eukaryota; Metazoa; Chordata; Actinopteri; Amiiformes; Amiidae
Description: bacterial LSU rRNA
Rfam family: Bacterial large subunit ribosomal RNA
Source: RNAcentral